UUUUCCUCACAGAACUCCUUUCUGUGUGUGUUCCAGGUGCCAACCUGAAAGGAGUGGCCAUGGAGGGCAGUCAGAUGACAGGAAUUAACCUCCGAGUUGCAACGCUGAGAAACCAAACUAAAGAACUGUAACCUCAGGGGAGCAACGUUGGCAGGAACUGAUUUGGAAGUGAGUUAGGAUUCAUUUUCCAUCCUAUUCCUUUCUCUCCUCUAGUCAGCUGGGAAUUUGGGGGAUUGCUGGCUUUUGGCUGACCUCUUCAGCUUCAGAGUACAAUGGAGUUCAGGUUGUGACCUCCAGGAGGCCAAUUUGAGGGGCUCUGAUGUGAAAGGAGCCAUCUUUGAAGAGAUGCUGACCCCCCUGCACAUGUCCCAGAGCGUCAGAUAGGGAAGAGAACACGUCGAAGAGGAAGGAAUCCAAACAUUUGUUGUGACUUUCUUCACCUCCUCCCCUUCCUGAGUUAGAAGGAAUGGUUAUUAGACAACUUCCAUUUGCAGUAGUGCCUAAGUAGACUCUUUCUGAUCA
Molecule: long non-coding RNA, 522 nt
Organism: Pseudopipra pipra
Lineage: Eukaryota; Metazoa; Chordata; Aves; Passeriformes; Pipridae
Exons: 2
Source: RefSeq, a predicted model, not a curated record